UACAGAGGUCUCAAGCGUUGUUCGGAUUCAUUGGGCGUAAAGGGUGCGUAGGUGGCGUCGUAAGUGGGGUGUGAAAUCCCGGGGCUUAACCCCGGGACUGCAUUCCAUACUGCGGUGCUUGAGGACUGGAGAGGAGACUGGAAUUUACGGUGUAGCAGUGAAACGCGUAGAGAUCUGCAAGAAUACCCGUGGCGAAGGCGGCCAGCUGGGCCGGUUCUGACGCUGAGGCGCGAAAGCGUGGGGAGCAAACAGG
Molecule: ribosomal RNA, 253 nt
Filed under: uncultured bacterium
Lineage: Bacteria
Description: partial 16S ribosomal RNA
Rfam family: Bacterial small subunit ribosomal RNA
Source: RNAcentral